Molecule: non-coding RNA, 812 nt
Organism: Theobroma cacao (cacao)
Lineage: Eukaryota; Viridiplantae; Streptophyta; Magnoliopsida; Malvales; Malvaceae
Source: RefSeq, a predicted model, not a curated record
GAAAAGAAAAUUAUUAUUCUCCCUUGGCUCUAUCGACAGCCAUUUAUGGAGCAAGGAGAAAGGGAGAAAGAAUGCUGGUGAGAGAGUAGAAAAUGGCAACUGGAUAGAGUUGUUUAUGAGGUAAAGAAAAGGGAGAAAAAGUGCUGGUGAGAGAGCAAAAAAAAUGGCAGUUGGAGAAUGAGAGAAAAAAACUGAGUUGCUGAUAGUUUAAGGAGGAAAAAGGGGGCUGACUUGCUGUCAGUUUUGAGAGGGAGAAAUGAGUGGACUUGCUAUCGAUUUUGAGAGGGAGAAAUGAAGGAAUUUGUUUCCAGUUUUGAGAGGGAAAAAGAAAGAGUCUUGUUGCCGAUUUGAGAAGGAAAUUCUGUUGAACCAAGGAGAGGAAGUUGCGACAAAGGAGGGAGUGAAGGACGACGUGUAAGUUGUCAAUAAUGAAGGUUGGGAGUUACUGAUCGGGUAACAAGAGAAGAGAGAAAAAGAGAAAGAGAAUAAUGUUGGAGACUUGGCAAUCCUAGCCUAAUUUGGAAGUACCAAAGUAAAGAUAGUGCACUGUAGUGGCAUGUCGGAGGAAGUAACGAGCGACCGACAAGUAAAAAUAGCGACGUAGUAACCCGCUAUUGCAAGACAGGGAUCUGCCUAGCGUGUAAUCAUCGGUGCGUUCGGUCCACUACAGUUAGGUAAAGGCAUCUCCUAGCAUUCUAUUCCCAGUCACUCCGCUGUUAGAGGUAGAGUUGUAGCACUUUGUUCAUUAAGUGGUAAAUAGAUAUUGAUUUUGGUAUAAGUAAAUAAUUGGAGAUUGUGGAUUUCAAUGUAUA